Molecule: ribosomal RNA, 119 nt
Filed under: Helianthus annuus (common sunflower)
Lineage: Eukaryota; Viridiplantae; Streptophyta; Magnoliopsida; Asterales; Asteraceae
Source: RNAcentral
GGUUGCGAUCAUACCAGCACUAAUGCACCGGAUCCCAUCAGAACUCCGCAGUUAAGCGUGCUUGGGCGAGAGUAGUACUAGGAUGGGUGACCCCCUGGGAAGUCCUCGUGUUGAAACCC